RNAcentral lists this ribosomal RNA (76 nucleotides) under Staphylococcus aureus. RNAcentral describes it as "partial 23S ribosomal RNA". The record is from RNAcentral. Lineage: Bacteria; Bacillati; Bacillota; Bacilli; Caryophanales; Staphylococcaceae.
GAGGUUAAUAGGUUCGAGGUGGAAGCAUGGUGACAUGUGGAGCUGACGAAUACUAAUCGAUCGAAGACUUAAUCAA